CAGCAGCCACGGGAAUACGGAGGGGGCUAGCGUUGUUCGGAAUUACUGGGCGUAAAGCGCACGUAGGCGGCUUGGUAAGUUAGAGGUGAAAGCCUGGAGCUCAACUCCAGAAUUGCCUUUAAGACUGCCGAGCUAGCAGGUGAGAGAGGUAAGUGGAAUUCCGAGUGUAGAGGUGAAAUUCGUAGAUAUUCGGAAGAACACCAGCGGCGAAGGCGGCUUACUGGCUCAUACUGGACGCUGAGGUGCGAAAGCGUGGGGAGCAAACAGGAUUAGAUACCCCCGUAGUCCCUGUCUCUUAUAC
RNAcentral lists this ribosomal RNA (301 nucleotides) under uncultured bacterium. RNAcentral's name for it is "partial 16S ribosomal RNA". It matches the Rfam family "Bacterial small subunit ribosomal RNA", at positions 509 to 807 of the family's 1533-position model. The record is from RNAcentral.